Molecule: long non-coding RNA, 373 nt
Filed under: Heterocephalus glaber (naked mole-rat)
Lineage: Eukaryota; Metazoa; Chordata; Mammalia; Rodentia; Bathyergidae
Description: lncRNA (ENSHGLG00100051444.1)
Source: RNAcentral
UUUCUUUUUAGGAGAGACCAGGAUCAGACAUUGGCAGUGUUUGGCCCCUCUGGACACCGGUCUGCGGAAGGAGAGGCCACCCUGACGGUAUUCUGGGGCUCUGGGUAGGCCAGUCCCAGUCGGGCCCUAUCGCCGAUCAACCAACCCGCAGGAGUUUAUUGGGAAAGCCUCUAGAGCCAACCUGGGAUGAUUGCCAGCAGCUUUCACAGAUCCUGUUCACCACUGAGGAACCGGACUGCAUUUAACAACAGACAGUCAAAGAGGCCCUGGGGCCAAACCCCAGUGUCACUCCCGGAACUCCGGGGCAUUUGGCCAAGUCUCUUCAAGCCUUACAGAUUCUUCAGAGUGAGAUCCAGGCUACAAAACAACAGGC